This 497-nucleotide ribosomal RNA is filed under the name uncultured bacterium. RNAcentral describes it as "partial 16S ribosomal RNA". It matches the Rfam family "Bacterial small subunit ribosomal RNA", at positions 28 to 507 of the family's 1533-position model. The record is from RNAcentral.
GAUGAACGCUGGCGGCGUGCCUAAUACAUGCAAGUCGAGCGAACGGACGAGAAGCUUGCUUCUCUGAUGUUAGCGGCGGACGGGUGAGUAACACGUGGAUAACCUACCUAUAAGACUGGGAUAACUUCGGGAAACCGGAGCUAGUACCGGGUAAUAUUUUGAACCGCAUGGUUCAAAAGUGAAAGACGGUCUUGCUGUCACUUAUAGAUGGAUCCGCGCUGCAUUAGCUAGUUGGUAAGGUAACGGCUUACCAAGGCAACGAUGCAUAGCCGACCUGAGAGGGUGAUCGGCCACACUGGAACUGAGACACGGUCCAGACUCCUACGGGAGGCAGCAGUAGGGAAUCUUCCGCAAUGGGCGAAAGCCUGACGGAGCAACGCCGCGUGAGUGAUGAAGGUCUUCGGAUCGUAAAACUCUGUUAUUAGGGAAGAACAUAUGUGUAAGUAACUGUGCACAUCUUGACGGUACCUAAUCAGAAAGCCACGGCUAACUACGUG